AUGACUUUCCACUCAGCGAAUA
This 22-nucleotide microRNA is filed under the name Pristionchus pacificus. RNAcentral describes it as "ppc-miR-76-5p". Its record names the gene ppc-miR-76-5p. The record is from miRBase by way of RNAcentral. Lineage: Eukaryota; Metazoa; Nematoda; Chromadorea; Rhabditida; Neodiplogasteridae.